GCGAGUGAAGUGGGAAGAGCUCAAAUUUUAAAUCACCUGGGUUUCCUUGGUGAAUUGUAUUUUGAAGAAAGUGUUUUGACGUUUGGGUUCAAUUUAAAUCCUUUGGGAUAAGGUAUCAUAGAGGGUGAGAAUCCCGUUUAUGAUUGUUCCUUUGAAUGUCUAUAAUUCACUUUCUAAGAGUCGAGUUGUUUGGGAUUGCAGCUCAAAUUGGGUGGUAAAUUUCACCUAAGGCUAAAUAUGUGCAAGAGACCGAUAGCGAACAAGUACCGUGAGGGAAAGAUGAAAAGAACUUUGAAAAGAGAGUUAAAUAGUACGUGAAAUUGUUGAAAGGGAAACGAUUAAAGUCAGUCAUGUUGGUGAGGAAUCAACUUGAUGGUAUGCGAGUUUUCUCGUGUACUUUCUGGUGCACUUCCUUACUUACAGGUUAGCAUCAAUUUUGGUUAUCAUAAAAAAAUUGAGGGAAGGUGGCUUUUCUUCGGAGAAGUGUUAUAGACCUUGAUAAAUGUGGUGACCGGGAUUGAGGAUUGCAGCGGAUACCCUUUGGCUAGUCACCUGACUUCUGAUGGUUGCCCUGUCUUCGAUAGCUUGCUAACGUUGAUGGGAUUCGAUUAUCUAGUUGUUGGGCUGAUCAUAAAUUCGCUAAGGAUGC
This 649-nucleotide ribosomal RNA is filed under the name Acaulospora delicata. RNAcentral describes it as "partial large subunit ribosomal RNA". It matches the Rfam family "Eukaryotic large subunit ribosomal RNA", at positions 89 to 626 of the family's 3401-position model. Lineage: Eukaryota; Fungi; Glomeromycota; Glomeromycetes; Diversisporales; Acaulosporaceae. The record is from RNAcentral.